GACACUUUCCUAGAGCCUGCCCUCUGCCCGAGUGCCCUGAAGCACAGCUCACUAAAAAGAGUUUCCCUUUACCGAGCUCCGCGGAGAACCUCUGAGGGCGAAAUGAAGGGUCAGGAGCAACGGCUGCCUGCCUCUGUACAGCAGUCAGGAUGAGGAAGUACUGCAGGCUGCCAACCGCCGUGCUGUGUGUGCUGCUGCCUCUUUCACUCUCUCUCAUGCAAAGAGGAAGGGAGCAAGAGAAUCUCAGCCAUGGCUCGGUGUCACCAGCGGAUCUGAACACGUCCAACUCCAUGGAGGUGCCCAGAGGAGUCACCAGUGCAGCAAAAAAAUAAAUUGAUAACUCACUUUUCUACUGGUAAAGGGAUAAUGUUAUAAGAACAAUAACGGUCCAAGGUAUCCCAAUAUAGAACAUGUACUUGGAGGAAAAGCAAAGGGCCACUUGACUUCAUGUCCACCUCACUUACUCACAAGCACCGCAAAGAUAGACCAGUAAUUACCAGCAUACUGAAAAUGACAACUUAUGUAUGAGGACAUUUCUUAAGAAGUUUCCAACAGGAAUAAUCUUCCAAACUGCCAAGACCUUAUACAUAAAUAAAAAACAAACACAGAAAUGGUUGAAUUGGGGAACAGCAGGCCUCUACAGUGUGAAACAGGCCAAUCAUUAAUAAAUCAUGAUGGAACAUGAAGCCUGUAUGUGGCUGGAUGAGGUGAGAUAGGUCUCAGGGGUGAAAACCCCUCAGCAGGCUCUUGGGCAACUCCUGCAUCUUGAUUCUCUGUGUUUUCCCUUCCUCUGGCCACAGGAAACAGCACUGACUGACUCCGACUCUCCACACAGACACAACACAUUUACACAGGAUAUGAGAACAAAUGCAAAAUAGGAAAUGACGGUCAUUCAGCAGAGUGUGUGGCUAAAAUAAGACUAAAAUAUGUCAUGAUCACUUUAAAUUGAGCCUAUAGUUCCAUUAUAAAUCUAUAACAUUUUAACAAAUGUUGACGAAGUUUUAGAAAAUGCAAAUACAUAUUUGAGAUAAGGGCAAAUUAGAACAUAAAGGACUUUGCUCCAAUGUAUAGUUUUUACUGUGGGUGUGAUACGUAGCACUACUCUGUGAUGUAUACUUGUCCUCAUAAAAACAAUGAUACAAUUAAAUAUAAAUAAAUAUUUGUUUCCCAUUUUUCGAGACUGCAAAACUAUUUGACAAAAUACAUAAAGAUUUAAACUUCAA
Molecule: long non-coding RNA, 1223 nt
Organism: Pleuronectes platessa (European plaice)
Lineage: Eukaryota; Metazoa; Chordata; Actinopteri; Pleuronectiformes; Pleuronectidae
Exons: 2
Source: RefSeq, a predicted model, not a curated record